This 484-nucleotide ribosomal RNA is filed under the name uncultured bacterium. Its description in RNAcentral is "partial 16S ribosomal RNA". It matches the Rfam family "Bacterial small subunit ribosomal RNA", at positions 30 to 507 of the family's 1533-position model. The record is from RNAcentral.
AUUGAACGCUGGCGGCAGGCCUAACACAUGCAAGUCGAGCGGAUGAAGGGAGCUUGCUCCUGGAUUCAGCGGCGGACGGGUGAGUAAUGCCUAGGAAUCUGCCUCGUAGUGGGGGAUAACGUCCGGAAACGGGCGCUAAUACCGCCUACGUCCUGAGGGAGAAAGUGGGGGAUCUUCGGACAUCACGCUAUCAGAUGAACCUAGGUGGGAUUAGCUAGUUGGUGGGGUAAUGGCCUGCCUAGGCGACGAUUGGUAACUGGUCUGAGAGGAUGAUCACUCACACUAGAGCGGAGACGCGGUCCAGGCUCCUGCGGGAGGGAGCAGUGGGGAAUAUUGGGCAAUGGGCGAAAGCCUGGUCCAGCCAUGCCGCGUGUGUGAAGAAGGUCUUCGGAUUGGAAAGCACUUUAAGUGGGGGGGAAGGGCAGUAAGUUAAUACCUUGCUGUAUUGACGUUACCAACAGAAUAAGCACCGGCUAACUUCGUG